AGUGAACGCUGGCGGUAGGCCUAACACGUGCAAGUCGAACGGCAGCACAGUAAGAGCUUGCUCUUACGGGUGGCGAGUGGCGGACGGGUGAGGAAUACAUCGGAAUCUACUUUUUCGUGGGGGAUAACGUAGGGAAACUUACGCUAAUACCGCAUACGACCUACGGGUGAAAGCAGGGGAUCUUCGGACCUUGCGUGAUUGAAUGAGCCGAUGUCGGAUUAGCUAGUUGGCGGGGUAAAGGCCCACCAAGGCGACGAUCCGUAGCUGGUCUGAGAGGAUGAUCAGCCACACUGGAACUGAGACACGGUCCAGACUCCUACGGGAGGCAGCAGUGGGGAAUAUUGGACAAUGGGCGCAAGCCUGAUCCAGCCAUACCGCGUGGGUGAAGAAGGCCUUCGGGUUGUAAAGCCCUUUUGUUGGGAAAGAAAAGCAGCAGGUUAAUACCCCGCUGUUCUGACGGUACCCAAAGAAUAAGCACCGGCUAACUUCGUG
This 492-nucleotide ribosomal RNA is filed under the name uncultured bacterium. Its description in RNAcentral is "partial 16S ribosomal RNA". It matches the Rfam family "Bacterial small subunit ribosomal RNA", at positions 29 to 507 of the family's 1533-position model. The record is from RNAcentral.